CGAGAACGUUUCAGCUUGCUGAAGCUAGUAAAGUGGCGCACGGGUGAGUAACGCGUGGGUAAUCUACCUCCGAAUUGGGGAUAACCCCGCGAAAGCGGGGCUAAUACCGGAUAAUAUCUUUAUAACCUAUGUUAUUUUGAUCAAAGGUGGCCUCUACAUGUAAGCUACUGUUUGGGGAUGAGCCCGCGUACCAUUAGCUUGUUGGUAGGGUAAUGGCCUACCAAGGCUACGAUGGUUAGCUGGUCUGAGAGGAUGAUCAGCCACACUGGAACUGGCACACGGUCCAGACUCCUACGGGAGGCAGCAGUGAGGAAUUUUGCGCAAUGGGGGAAACCCUGACGCAGCAACGCCGCGUGAGUGAUGAAGGCUUUCGGGUCGUAAAGCUCUGUCAAGUGGGAAGAACCCACAUGGUGAUAAUACCAUCAUGUGCUGACGGUACCACUGAAGGAAGCACCGGCUAACUU
RNAcentral lists this ribosomal RNA (464 nucleotides) under uncultured bacterium. RNAcentral's name for it is "bacterial SSU rRNA". It matches the Rfam family "Bacterial small subunit ribosomal RNA", at positions 63 to 503 of the family's 1533-position model. The record is from RNAcentral.